Molecule: ribosomal RNA, 119 nt
Filed under: Vigna angularis (adzuki bean)
Lineage: Eukaryota; Viridiplantae; Streptophyta; Magnoliopsida; Fabales; Fabaceae
Source: RNAcentral
AGGUGCGAUCAUACCAGCACUAAUGCACCGGAUCCCAUCAGAAAUCCGCAGUUAAGCGUGCUUUGGCGAGAGUAAUACUAUGAUGGGUGACCUCCUGGGAAGUCCUCGUGUUGCACCUC